UACGAAGGGGGCUAGCGUUGCUCGGAAUCACUGGGCGUAAAGGGUGCGUAGGCGGCGCGGUAAGUCGGGUGUGAAAUCUCGGGGCUUAACUCCGAAACUGCAUUCGAUACUGCCGUGCUUGAGGACUGGAGAGGAGACUGGAAUUUACGGUGUAGCGGUGAAAUGCGUAGAGAUGUGGAGGAACACCAGUGGCGAAGGCGACUCUUUGGUCUGUAACUGACGCUGAGGCGCGAAAGCGUGGGGAGCAAACAGG
This 253-nucleotide ribosomal RNA is filed under the name uncultured bacterium. RNAcentral describes it as "partial 16S ribosomal RNA". It matches the Rfam family "Bacterial small subunit ribosomal RNA", at positions 524 to 776 of the family's 1533-position model. The record is from RNAcentral.